Molecule: long non-coding RNA, 1153 nt
Organism: Rosa chinensis
Lineage: Eukaryota; Viridiplantae; Streptophyta; Magnoliopsida; Rosales; Rosaceae
Exons: 7
Source: RefSeq, a predicted model, not a curated record
ACUUCACCUUUUUACUUCGGCAAUAGUUUCCAUUGCAAAUGACAUCCUAUUGCUACAGAAAUGUUCCAUCGCAAUUAAGCCUUAUUACAGCAAAUGUGUUACUGUACGCCUCGUUAUGAAGAUGCUUUAGAUCCAAUCGGAGAAGGAAAUCGUCAUCGAGUUCAUUAAGAAUGACGACUACAAAUAUGUCCAGGUGCUUGGUGCAUUUUACUUGUGUAUUACCAGUACCUAGAGCCUUUGUACAAUGACAAGUAAAAUUGGCUGAUGGACGUGGAAAGUAUCGCUCUCUUUGCUGUCCAAGAACACAACAAGCGAUAGAAUGGUGUGCUUGAGUUUGCGAGGGUGUUGAAGUCAAGGGAACAAGUGGUUGUUUAAAUUUGAAUUUAACUGGGCAAACCUUUGUUUUGGUUCUAAUAGUUCGAAGCUAUAUUCUUAUAAAUGUUGUGCUAUGUUCAGCAGGAUAGGUCGGAGUGCCAAUGCAUGGCCCCUGUAGAAGCGUUGCUGCUGUGAAGUUAUCAAAGGAUCAAUCACCAAAGAAGUGAGCUUUUAUGCCCCUCAGAAUCUAUCCACCUGAUGGUUGCAAUAGUUGGUUUCAAACAUUCUAUAUUGUCAGAAUGGAGAGGAUGGUGGUGAACUCUCAAUUGGUGAAAAUAUGAUAGCUGCUGCUGGGCUGCCACAGCUAUUUCAACAAAUCCAUUAUGGGUUGUUAAGACAAGACUGCAAACUCGGGUGGAUCAAAUUACACAACAGCUGAAAUUUGGAAUAUCAGAGUUUGAAAACAAUGAGAACGUAUCAUCAGUACCUCAAGAUCCAGACCACAUAUCCUCUACAUAUCAAGUUGACAAGGAGGGUGCAGAACAAUUGGACCUGGAAAAGCAGGAAGCCAUAGGUGUGCUUGAUGGCUGUCACAGAUUAUACCGUCCUGGUUCUUAUGUUAUGCCUUGAUUAAGUUUUGAGUAUAUUCAGAAGAAGAAGCAGCACCAGCUUAGAACUGUUAUACGUGGAAGUGCAAGCUUCUAUCUCAUGGCUUGUGUGCGUGAUUUGGCUAGUGCAAAUCCCAUAAUAUUUUUAAUUUAUGAUAUUUGUUGUAGAUGGUACUAGCUUUGAUGUGCAAUUCACACAUUUUUUUUUUUAUAAAUGAAAUAUUCUUUUG